RNAcentral lists this ribosomal RNA (461 nucleotides) under uncultured bacterium. RNAcentral describes it as "SSU rRNA". It matches the Rfam family "Bacterial small subunit ribosomal RNA", at positions 26 to 518 of the family's 1533-position model. The record is from RNAcentral.
AGAAUCAACGCUGGCGGCGUGCCUAACACAUGCAAGUCGAACGAGAAAGUGGUAGCAAUACCAUGAGUAAGUGGCGCACGGGUGAGUAACACGUGACUAACCUACCCUGGAGUGGGGGAUAACUGAGGGAAACCUUAGCUAAUACCGCAUAAUACCUACGGGUCAAAGGAGCAAUUCGCUUCAGGAGGGGGUCGCGGCCGAUUAGUUAGUUGGCGGGGUAAUGGCCCACCAAGACAGUGAUCGGUAUCCGGCCUGAGAGGGCGCACGGACACACUGGAACUGAAACACGGUCCAGACUCCUACGGGAGGCAGCAGUGGGGAAUUUUGCGCAAUGGGGGAAACCCUGACGCAGCAACGCCGCGUGGAGGAUGAAGUCCCUCGGGACGUAAACUCCUUUCGAUCGGGACGAUUAUGACGGUACCGGAAGAAGAAGCCCCGGCUAACUUCGCGCCAGCAGCCGC